ACUGACAGACCCAGCGAGUUUUCACCUUGGCCGGAAAGUCUGGGUAAUCUUGUGAAACUUUGUCGUGCUGGGGAUAGAGCAUUGCAAUUAUUGCUCCUCAACGAGGAAUUCCUAGUAAGCGUGAGUCAUCAGCUCGCGUUGAUUACGUCCCUGCCCUUUGUACACACCGCCCGUCGCUACUACCGAUUGAAUGGAU
This 196-nucleotide ribosomal RNA is filed under the name uncultured eukaryote. RNAcentral describes it as "partial 18S small subunit ribosomal RNA". It matches the Rfam family "Eukaryotic small subunit ribosomal RNA", at positions 1502 to 1698 of the family's 1831-position model. The record is from RNAcentral.